RNAcentral lists this ribosomal RNA (253 nucleotides) under uncultured bacterium. RNAcentral describes it as "partial 16S ribosomal RNA". It matches the Rfam family "Bacterial small subunit ribosomal RNA", at positions 524 to 776 of the family's 1533-position model. The record is from RNAcentral.
UACGUAGGUGGCAAGCGUUGUCCGGAGUUACUGGGUGUAAAGGGCGUGUAGGCGGGAAAUUAAGUCAGAUGUGAAAGUCCAUGGCUCAACUGUGGGAGUGCGUCUGAAACUGAUUUUCUUGAGUACUGGAGAGGAAAGCGGAAUUCCGAGUGUAGCGGUGAAAUGCGUAGAGAUUUGGAGGAACACCAGUGGCGAAGGCGGCUUUCUGGACAGUAACUGACGCUGAGGCGCGAAAGCGUGUGGAGCAAACAGG